RNAcentral lists this ribosomal RNA (491 nucleotides) under uncultured Bacillota bacterium. Its description in RNAcentral is "bacterial SSU rRNA". It matches the Rfam family "Bacterial small subunit ribosomal RNA", at positions 1 to 523 of the family's 1533-position model. The record is from RNAcentral. Lineage: Bacteria; Bacillati; Bacillota.
CGCCCUUGAGUUUGAUCAUGGCUCAGGAUAAACGCUNGGCGGCGUGCAUCAGGCAUGCAAGUCGAACGUCCAGUAAUGGGACGUGGCGGACGGGUGAGUAACACGUAAGUAACCUGCCCAGAAGCGGGGAAUAACGCGUCGAAAGACGUGCUAAUACCGCAUGUGAUAGCCGGCUCUCGAGCUGGUUAUGAAAGGCCUUGGUCGCUUCUGGAGGGGCUUGCGGCCGAUUAGCUAGUUGGUGGGGUAAUGGCCUACCAAGGCAACGAUCGGUAGCUGGUCUGAGAGGAUGGUCAGCCACACGGGGACUGAGACACGGCCCCGACUCCUACGGGAGGCAGCAGCUAGGAAUCUUGGGAAUGGGCGAAAGCCUGACCCAGCAACGCCGCGUGGGCGAUUUUUUUCUUAGGGUCGUAAAGCCCUUUUGUGGGGGAAGAUGAUGACGGUACCCCACGAAUAAGCCACGGCUAACUACGUGCCAGCAGCCGCGGUAA